This is a long non-coding RNA of Salvelinus sp. IW2-2015, 761 nucleotides long. RefSeq lists it as uncharacterized. Lineage: Eukaryota; Metazoa; Chordata; Actinopteri; Salmoniformes; Salmonidae. The record is from RefSeq and is a predicted model, not a curated record.
AUAAGUCUCAAGAAUAUGUUCUGAUAAUCCCAUCUUGCAGAGGAAUUGGGAUCACRCAAGCAGAGAGAUAAGGACUGAGACUGGAGCCACUCACCUGCUGGCUGCUCUGUACUGCUGGCUGUGGUUGUCGGAGGAGCAACGGGAAUCUCUGUUUCCAGGUUUUGCCAGCAGCACCCACGGGAUGGCAAUCACAUGCUGUGAGGAACAGAAGAGAAGAGCGCUCUGAAGACAAGGCGCGUGUUGUUUUAACACCUGCAUUGACCUGGGACAUUCUCUGUGCUGAGGUUUCACAGCAGCAGCUCUUCCUGACAGGCCUCAUCUGAAGUUGAGACACCUUCACAGUCACAGAGGAACUAGAGGAGGCUGGAGAGCAACCCCCACUGGUGCUGUUAAACACACACACACACACACACACACACACACACACACACAGCGCAAACAUACGCAAACACACACUUCUACGGUGGGAUUCCUGUGAUGAGACCCCAGCCAAAUGACAGAAAGAGAACAAUUGUGUUCCACUACUUUCAACACUGAUGCACACAAACAGAAAUAAGCUAGUCACACCUGCUCCUUGGGYCAGGCAGGAUUCAGGGUGACUGCCCUUCAAUAGAGAACCACACAAAAGCGGCAGGCGCCUCGCUCCUGCCAGACCUUUCAGCGCACACACCUAUACGACCAUGAGACUCCGAUGCACCUCAACACACACACACACACGGGAAUGCCUGGCAUGUACUGAGUGUUUUGAAUUGCAUUCUCUC